RNAcentral lists this long non-coding RNA (616 nucleotides) under Pongo abelii (Sumatran orangutan). RNAcentral describes it as "lincRNA". The record is from RNAcentral. Lineage: Eukaryota; Metazoa; Chordata; Mammalia; Primates; Hominidae.
GACUUGCAUCCUCAUGAAACUCUUAAACCCCCUCCUGACCUUCAGAGAUGUUUAUCACCAGAGAUGGGUUAUGAAAGUGAUCCUAUAGAACCUGAGGGAUUGCUUAACUCAAACUCUACUUCUACAUUAGAGUAUCUUCUGAGAAACGACCUCAACAAAAUUUGCUAUCUACCUAUUUACUAACAUAAAUGAGGAAACCAAAAAGGUCAACGGUGAGGCAGGAAGGUUUCAGUUCAGUGGAGAAAAGAAAAUCUUGAUGAAAUGUCAUUAACUUCCAUAUUUGGAAUAAGCUAUAAAAGCUUGUCGAAGGUCUAAUUUAUGUGCAAGACUGAAAGCUGUUUAAACGGAUAAUAUGCUUCCUUCAUGAGAAAUACCACCCCUUUAUGCUCCAUUAAAUUCAGACGUUGACUCUAUAAGCUACGUACCAAUUAUUUCUUUCCAGAAACAGCAACAUAGUUUUUUCUGCAAGGGACAACAGAUUAUUGUAGGCUGCUAUUAAUCUCCACAUAGUUCACAAAAUACACAGGACACUAGGGAGAAACAAUCACGUUGCUAUUUUAACAUUUGCAAAAUGCUAUGUGGAGCGGAAAUAAAAAGAAGAUGCCUGUCUGAUUGC